This is a long non-coding RNA of Gossypium arboreum, 766 nucleotides long. RefSeq lists it as uncharacterized. The transcript has 2 exons. The record is from RefSeq and is a predicted model, not a curated record. Lineage: Eukaryota; Viridiplantae; Streptophyta; Magnoliopsida; Malvales; Malvaceae.
ACCUUAGUUUGCCGCCCCUCCCUCUCUUGUAGGAGAAAAAAAAACUUCUUUUUCAUUCUUCUCAUCUCCUCUUUAAAUCAACCCAUUCCUGCCAUCAUCUUCUUCAUUAAAGUCUAGGGUUUUAUGGUUUAGAAAGAGAAAACUUUGACUAGAGAGAGAAAGUUUCGAUAAGGGUAAGAAACAUGUUUUUCAGAAUUUUCACCUUCUUUAUUUAAGGUUGUGUUUAAAAUGUGAUGAGCAUGCUUUGAUAACUUGUGUAUAUUUUUGUGUUGGGUGGAGAAAAAGAGAAAGAAGAGGAGAGAAGGGUUCCAAGCAUGGAGAAAGUGAAAAUGAAGGAUUAGAGAGAAGCCUUGUUUUUUGUUAAUGAUUACCUAGAAGAAAUUUUUCCCAUCUGUUUUUGACAAAAUCCAAGGCAGAUUCAGAAUUGAAGAGGGAGAUUCCUCUAACCAGGUGGGAGAUUAACAGUAAUCAAAUCCACACGGCCCUAUAAAUGUUUGUAAUUCUAAAGCUGUCCGAAAUUUUUGGUGGAAGCACAAGGCAGAUAAAAGAAAGAUUCGCUUUCUCAAUUGGAAGAAAGAGAAGAACAACCUACAUUCUACUUAGAAACCUCUGAUAUCAAAUUAGGUAUAUCAAACACUAGAAAGAGAUAAAUACAUAAACUUUAGUUUAAUAUGCAAUUGUAUAUAUGAAUUUUAAUUUGAUGUAAUUUUACACAUGAACUUUGAUUGCGGUUAGAAUGUAUACGUGAAACUUAAUUUUAAUUCAA